RNAcentral lists this ribosomal RNA (497 nucleotides) under uncultured bacterium. Its description in RNAcentral is "partial 16S ribosomal RNA". It matches the Rfam family "Bacterial small subunit ribosomal RNA", at positions 28 to 507 of the family's 1533-position model. The record is from RNAcentral.
GAUGAACGCUGGCGGCGUGCCUAAUACAUGCAAGUCGAGCGGACGGGCGAGCUUUUUCCUGCUGUUAUGUUGUCGGCGGGCGGGUGAGUAAAACGUGGCUCACCUACCUAUAAGCCUGAGAUUACUUCGGGAACCCGGAGCUAAUACCGAAUAAUAUUUUGAACCGCAUGGUUCAGAAGUGAAAGACGGUCUUGCUGUCACUUAUAGAUGGUUCCGCGCUGCAUUAGCUAGUUGGUAAGGUAACGGCUUACCAAGGCAACGAUGCCGAGCCGACCUGAGGGGGUGAUCGGCCACACUGGAACUGAGACACGGUCCAGACUCCGACGGGAGGCAGCAGUAGGGAAUCUUCCGCAAUGGGCGAAAGCCUGACGGAGCAGCGCCGCGUGAGUGAUGAAGGUCUUCGGAUCGGAAAACUCUGUUACUAGGGAAGAACAUAUGUGUAAGUAGUUGGGCACAUCUUGACGGUACCUAAUCAGAAAGCCACGGCUAACUACGUG